This 93-nucleotide non-coding RNA is filed under the name unclassified sequences. Its description in RNAcentral is "skipping-rope RNA". It matches the Rfam family "skipping-rope RNA". Rfam says of the family: Firmicutes, Fusobacteria, AlphaProteobacteria, Spirochaetes. Downstream gene The record is from Rfam by way of RNAcentral.
AUCGUUAGAGGUGGUAAAUUUCGUUGCAACCACGCACCCUAUAGGUUAAAAGAGAUGCAAGAGAUGCAAGAGAUGUGACGCUUGCCUAACGGU